CAAAGAGCAGCACUGAGCAGAAAUAACACUGCUCCUGUUCAUUCUCCAUCAGUGAGGGGCCGGUGCUGGACACUGUGUAGGGACGCGGGAAUGCAAAGUCAUACACAUGACUGUGACUGAUGCACUAUCUCCAGGACAUGGAGUAGCAUUUCCGGACCUACAGCAAGACGUUGGAUGAAGGCAUAGCCCCAGAAAUAACACUGGUCCUGUUCAUCAGUGAGGGGCCGGUGCUGGACACUGUGUAGGGACACGGGAAUGCAAAGUCAUGCACAUGACUGUGACUGAUGCACUAUUUCCAGGACAUGGAGUAGCAUUUCGGGACCUACAGCAAGACGUUGGAUGAAGGCACAGGCCUAGGAAUCAUGCACAUACACAGAAA
Molecule: long non-coding RNA, 379 nt
Organism: Hyla sarda
Lineage: Eukaryota; Metazoa; Chordata; Amphibia; Anura; Hylidae
Exons: 3
Source: RefSeq, a predicted model, not a curated record